Passer domesticus (house sparrow) is the source of this 392-nucleotide long non-coding RNA. RefSeq lists it as uncharacterized. The transcript has 2 exons. NCBI's taxonomy places the organism in Eukaryota, Metazoa, Chordata, Aves, Passeriformes, Passeridae. The record is from RefSeq and is a predicted model, not a curated record.
UGGACAGGAGAUGGUGAAGAUGUUGCUGAGCCAUCAAAAAUUUAAAAUGCUUCUGGAACAAUCUCUCUCCACGCGUGAUCUGGAAGAUAUUCUGACAAGAAUUAAGAAGAAAGGGAUGGAAAACCAGAAGGGUGAAUGCCCAUCUGUCAAGGAGCCGGUGGAGAAGAGGAACGAUGGCUCCAAGAAGCCCCAGGCCACAUUGCCUUCUAGCAAACGGUACUGAGCACUUUUGUCAGAUGUGACAAAGCCCAUGGCAAGCUUCACAUGCCUCUUCCUCAGGCAAAUCUUUCUGGCAGAGAUGACCAGUGCCAGAGAUUGUUUCCUUUCCCUACAAAUGCUCUAGGAUAAAAAAUGUCUACUUCUGCAUUACGCUGAACACAACUUCUCUGGAG